RNAcentral lists this ribosomal RNA (667 nucleotides) under uncultured marine eukaryote. RNAcentral's name for it is "SSU rRNA". It matches the Rfam family "Eukaryotic small subunit ribosomal RNA", at positions 616 to 1284 of the family's 1831-position model. The record is from RNAcentral.
UGGUUAAAAAGCUCGUAGUUGGAUCUCGGCGGACUGAGGGCGGUUUGCUUGCUAGUAUUACUGCCCUAUAGUCCGUAGUUUUGCCAGAGGUUUCGGGGUGCUCUUAAUCGAGUGUCCCGGGAUGCUGGCAGGUUUACUUUGAAAAAAUUAGAGUGCUCAAAGCAGGCUAUUACGCCUGAAUAUUCGUGCAUGGAAUAAUAGAAUAGGAAGUCGUUUCUAUUUUGUUGGUUUUCGGAAAUCGACUUAAUGAUUAAUAGGGACAGUCGGGGGCAUUUGUAUUCAAACGACAGAGGUGAAAUUCUUGGACCGUUUGAAGACAAACUACUGCGAAAGCAUUUGCCAAGAAUGUUUUCAUUAAUCAAGAACGAAAGUUAAAGGUUCGAAGGCGAUUAGAUACCGCCCUAGUUUUAACCAUAAACGAUGCCAGCUAGCGAUCUGCGGACGUUUUUUCUGUAGACUCCGCAGGAAGCUUCCGGGAAACCAAAGCAUUUGGGUUCCAGGGGAAGUAUGGUUGCAAAGCUGAAACUUAAAGGAAUUGACGGAAGGGCACCACCAGGAGUGGAGCCUGUGGCUUAAUUUGACUCAACACGGGAAAUCUCACCAGGCCCGGACACUGGAAAGACUGACAGAUUGAUAGCUCUUUCUUGAUUCGGUGGGUGGUGGUGCA